RNAcentral lists this long non-coding RNA (349 nucleotides) under Androctonus crassicauda. The record is from RNAcentral. Lineage: Eukaryota; Metazoa; Arthropoda; Arachnida; Scorpiones; Buthidae.
AUGGCAAAUGUGUUGAUGACUUUCACUGUUUUUUUCCCAUUCAGAUGUGUUUUGAGAAUGUUAUUUAACCUGUUGCUGUACAGUUUUGACAGUGUUUGUUUAAUAUUCUUUUGUUCUGUGAAUCUGGUGCUGGAAUCCCAAAUACACUUCACCCUCCUCGAUGGAUUCAAUAGUGACUCCAUUUUCAAGAAUGAAGUCUCCUUUCUUUAGGACUCCCUUUUCUAUGUGGAGUGUUUUGCAUUUGUCCAGAUCAAAGUCCAUGCAGAUAUCUUUUGAAAAUGUGUGCAUGAUUUAUAAUUAACAGCUGUUGUAAUUGUGUUUGUGUUGAGGCAUACAGCUUAAUGUCAUU